RNAcentral lists this ribosomal RNA (253 nucleotides) under uncultured Lactobacillus sp. Its description in RNAcentral is "partial 16S ribosomal RNA". It matches the Rfam family "Bacterial small subunit ribosomal RNA", at positions 524 to 776 of the family's 1533-position model. The record is from RNAcentral. Lineage: Bacteria; Bacillati; Bacillota; Bacilli; Lactobacillales; Lactobacillaceae.
UACGUAGGUGGCAAGCGUUAUCCGGAUUUAUUGGGCGUAAAGGGAACGCAGGCGGUCUUUUAAGUCUGAUGUGAAAGCCUUCGGCUUAACCGGAGUAGUGCAUUGGAAACUGGUUGACUUGAGUGCAGAAGAGGGAAGUGGAAUUCCAUGUGUAGCGGUGAAAUGCGUAGAGAUAUGGAGGAACACCAGUGGCGAAGGCGGCUUCCUGGGACGCAACUGACGCUCAUACACGAAAGCGUGGGGAGCAAACAGG